UUAAGCGACUAAGCGUACACGGUGGAUGCCCUGGCAGUCAGAGGCGAUGAAGGACGUGCUAAUCUGCGAUAAGCGUCGGUAAGGUGAUAUGAACCGUUAUAACCGGCGAUUUCCGAAUGGGGAAACCCAGUGUGAUUCGUCACACUAUCAUUAACUGAAUCCAUAGGUUAAUGAGGCGAACCGGGGGAACUGAAACAUCUAAGUACCCCGAGGAAAAGAAAUCAACCGAGAUUCCCCCAGUAGCGGCGAGCGAACGGGGAGGAGCCCAGAGCCUGAAUCAGUGUGUGUGUUAGUGGAAGCGUCUGGAAAGGCGCGCGAUACAGGGUGACAGCCCCGUACACAAAAAUGCACAUGCUGUGAGCUCGAUGAGUAGGGCGGGACACGUGGUAUCCUGUCUGAAUAUGGGGGGACCAUCCUCCAAGGCUAAAUACUCCUGACUGACCGAUAGUGAACCAGUACCGUGAGGGAAAGGCGAAAAGAACCCCGGCGAGGGGAGUGAAAAAGAACCUGAAACCGUGUACGUACAAGCAGUGGGAGCCUCUUUAUGGGGUGACUGCGUACCUUUUGUAUAAUGGGUCAGCGACUUAUAUUCUGUAGCAAGGUUAACCGAAUAGGGGAGCCGAAGGGAAACCGAGUCUUAACUGGGCGUUAAGUUGCAGGGUAUAGACCCGAAACCCGGUGAUCUAGCCAUGGGCAGGUUGAAGGUUGGGUAACACUAACUGGAGGACCGAACCGACUAAUGUUGAAAAAUUAGCGGAUGACUUGUGGCUGGGGGUGAAAGGCCAAUCAAACCGGGAGAUAGCUGGUUCUCCCCGAAAGCUAUUUAGGUAGCGCCUCGUGAAUUCAUCUCCGGGGGUAGAGCACUGUUUCGGCAAGGGGGUCAUCCCGACUUACCAACCCGAUGCAAACUGCGAAUACCGGAGAAUGUUAUCACGGGAGACACACGGCGGGUGCUAACGUCCGUCGUGAAGAGGGAAACAACCCAGACCGCCAGCUAAGGUCCCAAAGUCAUGGUUAAGUGGGAAACGAUGUGGGAAGGCCCAGACAGCCAGGAUGUUGGCUUAGAAGCAGCCAUCAUUUAAAGAAAGCGUAAUAGCUCACUGGUCGAGUCGGCCUGCGCGGAAGAUGUAACGGGGCUAAACCAUGCACCGAAGCUGCGGCAGCGACACUAUGUGUUGUUGGGUAGGGGAGCGUUCUGUAAGCCUGCGAAGGUGUACUGUGAGGUAUGCUGGAGGUAUCAGAAGUGCGAAUGCUGACAUAAGUAACGAUAAAGCGGGUGAAAAGCCCGCUCGCCGGAAGACCAAGGGUUCCUGUCCAACGUUAAUCGGGGCAGGGUGAGUCGACCCCUAAGGCGAGGCCGAAAGGCGUAGUCGAUGGGAAACAGGUUAAUAUUCCUGUACUUGGUGUUACUGCGAAGGGGGGACGGAGAAGGCUAUGUUGGCCGGGCGACGGUUGUCCCGGUUUAAGCGUGUAGGCUGGUUUUCCAGGCAAAUCCGGAAAAUCAAGGCUGAGGCGUGAUGACGAGGCACUACGGUGCUGAAGCAACAAAUGCCCUGCUUCCAGGAAAAGCCUCUAAGCAUCAGGUAACAUCAAAUCGUACCCCAAACCGACACAGGUGGUCAGGUAGAGAAUACCAAGGCGCUUGAGAGAACUCGGGUGAAGGAACUAGGCAAAAUGGUGCCGUAACUUCGGGAGAAGGCACGCUGAUAUGUAGGUGAAGUCCCUUGCGGAUGGAGCUGAAAUCAGUCGAAGAUACCAGCUGGCUGCAACUGUUUAUUAAAAACACAGCACUGUGCAAACACGAAAGUGGACGUAUACGGUGUGACGCCUGCCCGGUGCCGGAAGGUUAAUUGAUGGGGUUAGCGGUAACGCGAAGCUCUUGAUCGAAGCCCCGGUAAACGGCGGCCGUAACUAUAACGGUCCUAAGGUAGCGAAAUUCCUUGUCGGGUAAGUUCCGACCUGCACGAAUGGCGUAAUGAUGGCCAGGCUGUCUCCACCCGAGACUCAGUGAAAUUGAACUCGCUGUGAAGAUGCAGUGUACCCGCGGCAAGACGGAAAGACCCCGUGAACCUUUACUAUAGCUUGACACUGAACAUUGAGCCUUGAUGUGUAGGAUAGGUGGGAGGCUUUGAAGUGUGGACGCCAGUCUGCAUGGAGCCGACCUUGAAAUACCACCCUUUAAUGUUUGAUGUUCUAACGUUGGCCCCUAAUCGGGGUUGCGGACAGUGUCUGGUGGGUAGUUUGACUGGGGCGGUCUCCUCCUAAAGAGUAACGGAGGAGCACGAAGGUUGGCUAAUCCUGGUCGGACAUCAGGAGGUUAGUGCAAUGGCAUAAGCCAGCUUGACUGCGAGCGUGACGGCGCGAGCAGGUGCGAAAGCAGGUCAUAGUGAUCCGGUGGUUCUGAAUGGAAGGGCCAUCGCUCAACGGAUAAAAGGUACUCCGGGGAUAACAGGCUGAUACCGCCCAAGAGUUCAUAUCGACGGCGGUGUUUGGCACCUCGAUGUCGGCUCAUCACAUCCUGGGGCUGAAGUAGGUCCCAAGGGUAUGGCUGUUCGCCAUUUAAAGUGGUACGCGAGCUGGGUUUAGAACGUCGUGAGACAGUUCGGUCCCUAUCUGCCGUGGGCGCUGGAGAACUGAGGGGGGCUGCUCCUAGUACGAGAGGACCGGAGUGGACGCAUCACUGGUGUUCGGGUUGUCAUGCCAAUGGCACUGCCCGGUAGCUAAAUGCGGAAGAGAUAAGUGCUGAAAGCAUCUAAGCACGAAACUUGCCCCGAGAUGAGUUCUCCCUGACUCCCUGAGAGUCCUGAAGGAACGUUGAAGACGACGACGUUGAUAGGCCGGGUGUGUAAGCGCAGCGAUGCGUUGAGCUAACCGGUACUAAUGAACCGUGAGGCUUAACCUU
RNAcentral lists this ribosomal RNA (2902 nucleotides) under Escherichia coli KTE200. RNAcentral describes it as "bacterial LSU rRNA". It matches the Rfam family "Bacterial large subunit ribosomal RNA". The record is from RNAcentral. Lineage: Bacteria; Pseudomonadati; Pseudomonadota; Gammaproteobacteria; Enterobacterales; Enterobacteriaceae.